RNAcentral lists this ribosomal RNA (1437 nucleotides) under Klebsiella pneumoniae. RNAcentral's name for it is "bacterial SSU rRNA". It matches the Rfam family "Bacterial small subunit ribosomal RNA". Lineage: Bacteria; Pseudomonadati; Pseudomonadota; Gammaproteobacteria; Enterobacterales; Enterobacteriaceae. The record is from RNAcentral.
CCUAACACAUGCAAGUCGAGCGGUAGCACAGAGAGCUUGCUCUCGGGUGACGAGCGGCGGACGGGUGAGUAAUGUCUGGGAAACUGCCUGAUGGAGGGGGAUAACUACUGGAAACGGUAGCUAAUACCGCAUAACGUCGCAAGACCAAAGUGGGGGACCUUCGGGCCUCAUGCCAUCAGAUGUGCCCAGAUGGGAUUAGCUAGUAGGUGGGGUAACGGCUCACCUAGGCGACGAUCCCUAGCUGGUCUGAGAGGAUGACCAGCCACACUGGAACUGAGACACGGUCCAGACUCCUACGGGAGGCAGCAGUGGGGAAUAUUGCACAAUGGGCGCAAGCCUGAUGCAGCCAUGCCGCGUGUGUGAAGAAGGCCUUCGGGUUGUAAAGCACUUUCAGCGGGGAGGAAGGCGAUAAGGUUAAUAACCUUAUCGAUUGACGUUACCCGCAGAAGAAGCACCGGCUAACUCCGUGCCAGCAGCCGCGGUAAUACGGAGGGUGCAAGCGUUAAUCGGAAUUACUGGGCGUAAAGCGCACGCAGGCGGUCUGUCAAGUCGGAUGUGAAAUCCCCGGGCUCAACCUGGGAACUGCAUUCGAAACUGGCAGGCUAGAGUCUUGUAGAGGGGGGUAGAAUUCCAGGUGUAGCGGUGAAAUGCGUAGAGAUCUGGAGGAAUACCGGUGGCGAAGGCGGCCCCCUGGACAAAGACUGACGCUCAGGUGCGAAAGCGUGGGGAGCAAACAGGAUUAGAUACCCUGGUAGUCCACGCUGUAAACGAUGUCGAUUUGGAGGUUGUGCCCUUCAGGCGUGGCUUCCGGAGCUAACGCGUUAAAUCGACCGCCUGGGGAGUACGGCCGCAAGGUUAAAACUCAAAUGAAUUGACGGGGGCCCGCACAAGCGGUGGAGCAUGUGGUUUAAUUCGAUGCAACGCGAAGAACCUUACCUGGUCUUGACAUCCACAGAACUUAGCAGAGAUGGUUUGGUGCCUUCGGGAACUGUGAGACAGGUGCUGCAUGGCUGUCGUCAGCUCGUGUUGUGAAAUGUUGGGUUAAGUCCCGCAACGAGCGCAACCCUUAUCCUUUGUUGCCAGCGGUUAGGCCGGGAACUCAAAGGAGACUGCCAGUGAUAAACUGGAGGAAGGUGGGGAUGACGUCAAGUCAUCAUGGCCCUUACGACCAGGGCUACACACGUGCUACAAUGGCAUAUACAAAGAGAAGCGACCUCGCGAGAGCAAGCGGACCUCAUAAAGUAUGUCGUAGUCCGGAUUGGAGUCUGCAACUCGACUCCAUGAAGUCGGAAUCGCUAGUAAUCGUAGAUCAGAAUGCUACGGUGAAUACGUUCCCGGGCCUUGUACACACCGCCCGUCACACCAUGGGAGUGGGUUGCAAAAGAAGUAGGUAGCUUAACCUUCGGGAGGGCGCUUACCACUUUGUGAUUCAUGACU